Molecule: ribosomal RNA, 465 nt
Filed under: Vreelandella stevensii
Lineage: Bacteria; Pseudomonadati; Pseudomonadota; Gammaproteobacteria; Oceanospirillales; Halomonadaceae
Description: partial 16S ribosomal RNA
Rfam family: Bacterial small subunit ribosomal RNA
Source: RNAcentral
CCUACGGGUGGCUGCAGUGGGGAAUAUUGGACAAUGGGCGAAAGCCUGAUCCAGCCAUGCCGCGUGUGUGAAGGAGGCCUUCGGGUUGUAAAGCACUUUCAGUGGGGAAGAAAGCCUUGGGGCUAAUACCCUCGAGGAAGGACAUCACCCACAGAAGAAGCACCGGCUAACUCCGUGCCAGCAGCCGCGGUAAUACGGAGGGUGCGAGCGUUAAUCGGAAUUACUGGGCGUAAAGCGCGCGUAGGCGGUCUGAUAAGCCGGUUGUGAAAGCCCCGGGCUCAACCUGGGAACGGCAUCCGGAACUGUCAGGCUAGAGUGCAGGAGAGGAAGGUAGAAUUCCCGGUGUAGCGGUGAAAUGCGUAGAGAUCGGGAGGAAUACCAGUGGCGAAGGCGGCCUUCUGGACUGACACUGACGCUGAGGUGCGAAAGCGUGGGUAGCAAACAGGAUUAGAUACCCGGGUAGUC